GGGCCCGCACAAGCGGUGGAGUAUGUGGUUUAAUUCGAUGCAACGCGAAGAACCUUACCAGGGUUUGACAUCCUGCGAAUCUCUUGGAAACAGGAGAGUGCCUUCGGGAACGCAGUGACAGGUGGUGCAUGGCUGUCGUCAGCUCGUGUCGUGAGAUGUUCCGUUAAGUCGGAUAACGAGCGCAACCCUUACCCUUAUUUGCCAGCGAUUCGGUCGGGAACUAUAAGGGGACUGCCGGUGAUAAACCGGAGGAAGGUGAGGACGACGUCAAGUCAUCAUGGCCCUUACGAGUAGGGCUACACACGUGCUACAAAUGGGGGAAAUACAGACGGACGCUAAAGCCGCAAGGUGGUGCUAAUCCUAGAAAGUUUCUCGU
Molecule: ribosomal RNA, 376 nt
Filed under: uncultured bacterium
Lineage: Bacteria
Description: bacterial SSU rRNA
Rfam family: Bacterial small subunit ribosomal RNA
Source: RNAcentral